RNAcentral lists this ribosomal RNA (292 nucleotides) under uncultured prokaryote. RNAcentral's name for it is "partial 16S ribosomal RNA". It matches the Rfam family "Bacterial small subunit ribosomal RNA", at positions 505 to 796 of the family's 1533-position model. The record is from RNAcentral.
GUGCCAGCAGCCGCGGUAAUACGUAGGUGGCAAGCGUUGUCCGGAUUUAUUGGGCGUAAAGCGAGCGCAGGCGGUCAAUUAAGUCUGAUGUGAAAGCCCCCGGCUCAACCGGGGAGGGUCAUUGGAAACUGGUUGACUUGAGUGCAGAAGAGGAGAGUGGAAUUCCAUGUGUAGCGGUGAAAUGCGUAGGUAUAUGGAGGAACACCAGUGGCGAAGGCGACUCUCUGGUCUGUAACUGACGCUGAGGCUCGAAAGCGUGGGUAGCAAACAGGAUUAGAUACCCCAGUAGUCC